RNAcentral lists this ribosomal RNA (327 nucleotides) under Zootoca vivipara (common lizard). Its description in RNAcentral is "partial 16S ribosomal RNA". It matches the Rfam family "Bacterial large subunit ribosomal RNA", at positions 2004 to 2538 of the family's 2925-position model. The record is from RNAcentral. Lineage: Eukaryota; Metazoa; Chordata; Lepidosauria; Squamata; Lacertidae.
AUGAGGACUAAUCUGUCUCUUACGGACCAACCAAUGAAAUUAAUCUUUCAGUACAAAAGCUGAAAUAAAAACAUAAGACGAGAAGACCCUGUGGAGCUUCAAACCAAAAACACCCUGCAUGCUCCUCAGGUUUUUAGUUGGGGCGACUUCGGAGCACAAUAAAACCUCCAAAAUCUUUAUCUUCAAGAUUAACAAACCAAAAACUUUAUUAGACCCAGCAAUGUAUAACAUUGUCUGACCACUGAACCAAGUUACCCCAGGGAUAACAGCGCCAUCCCCUCCUAGAGUCCAUAUCAACAAGGGGGUUUACGACCUCGAUGUUGGAUC